UUGACGUAUAUUGUUCAUAAGUUUUUUUAGUUUCUCGCGUUUUUUUAAAGAUUAAAUUUUUGUUUUCCUGUUUGAACGGGUUUACACUAGUUAUUUGGGGCCCAUAAUAGCUUCCGAGUUGAAGACCGUAUACGUAAUUGGUUUACUUUUACAAAUUGUGACUUGGAUGGAGAGUUGUCUUAUUGGCACUCUUUAUACCACCUCUUCUUAUAUCUAUUAUCUAUAUCUAUGUAAAGUUC
Molecule: long non-coding RNA, 239 nt
Filed under: Mytilus galloprovincialis (Mediterranean mussel)
Lineage: Eukaryota; Metazoa; Mollusca; Bivalvia; Mytilida; Mytilidae
Source: RNAcentral